RNAcentral lists this ribosomal RNA (253 nucleotides) under uncultured bacterium. RNAcentral describes it as "partial 16S ribosomal RNA". It matches the Rfam family "Bacterial small subunit ribosomal RNA", at positions 524 to 776 of the family's 1533-position model. The record is from RNAcentral.
GACGUAGGAGGCGAGCGUUGUCCGGAUUCAUUGGGCGUAAAGAGCACGCAGGCGGUUUGGCAAGUCGGAUGUGAAAACCCGAAGCUCAACCCCGGGCCUGCAGCCGAUACGGGCAGACUAGAGUUCGGCAGGGGAGACUGGAAUUCCUGGUGUAGCGGUGAAAUGCGCAGAUAUCAGGAGGAACACCGGUGGCGAAGGCGGGUCUCUGGGCCGAUACUGACGCUGAGGAGCGAAAGCGUGGGGAGCGAACAGG